Molecule: long non-coding RNA, 261 nt
Filed under: Salvia miltiorrhiza (redroot sage)
Lineage: Eukaryota; Viridiplantae; Streptophyta; Magnoliopsida; Lamiales; Lamiaceae
Description: long non-coding RNA (SMIL_LNC001373)
Source: RNAcentral
GAUUAUUGGUCACAAUUUAUGAGGAACUAAUUAAAAAAAAGAAAAUAAAAAUAAAAAAAAUACUAACAUGGACUACACAUCACGAUACUCACUAUACAUGAUCAUAGAUAGAAUGCAACAAGUCGGUCCAUAUAUAUAACAUAUGACUCAAUGCACAUACGACGUAAAAAAUUAAAUUGUAUACGAGUUGAAAUAUUCAACUUUAGCUUCAUCAUAUGCACCUCAGUUCUUAUUUAAAUACGUAGAUUCACGCGGUGAAAU